RNAcentral lists this ribosomal RNA (34 nucleotides) under Humulus lupulus (European hop). RNAcentral describes it as "partial 26S ribosomal RNA". Lineage: Eukaryota; Viridiplantae; Streptophyta; Magnoliopsida; Rosales; Cannabaceae. The record is from RNAcentral.
CCCCAGGUCAGGCGGGAUUACCCGCUGAAUUUAA